GCACAAGCGGUGAUGAUGUGGUUUAAUUCGAUGCAACGCGAAAAACCUUACCCACCUUUGACAUGUACGGAAUCCUUAGAGAUAGAGGAGUGCUCGAAAGAGAACCGUAACACAGGUGCUGCAUGGCUGUCGUCAGCUCGUGUCGUGAGAUGUUGGGUUAAGUCCCGCAACGAGCGCAACCCUUGUCAUUAGUUGCUACAUUUAGUUGGGCACUCUAAUGAGACUGCCGGUGACAAACCGGAGGAAGGUGGGGAUGACGUCAAGUCCUCAUGGCCCUUAUAGGUGGGGCUACACACGUCAUACAAUGGAUGGUACAAAGGGUCGCCAACCCGCGAGGGGGAGCCAAUCCCAUAAAGCCAUUCGUAGUCCGGAUCGUAGUCUGCAACUCGACUACGUGAAGUCGGAAUCGCUAGUAAUCGCAGAUCAGCAUGCUGCGGUAGAAUACGUUCCGGGUCUU
RNAcentral lists this ribosomal RNA (457 nucleotides) under uncultured Acidovorax sp. Its description in RNAcentral is "bacterial SSU rRNA". It matches the Rfam family "Bacterial small subunit ribosomal RNA", at positions 923 to 1382 of the family's 1533-position model. Lineage: Bacteria; Pseudomonadati; Pseudomonadota; Betaproteobacteria; Burkholderiales; Comamonadaceae. The record is from RNAcentral.